This 1875-nucleotide ribosomal RNA is filed under the name Triticum aestivum (bread wheat). RNAcentral describes it as "partial small subunit ribosomal RNA". Lineage: Eukaryota; Viridiplantae; Streptophyta; Magnoliopsida; Poales; Poaceae. The record is from RNAcentral.
AUGGCGGUGGAGGUGGUUCCCUCCCGCUCGGCGUCGGUGUUGCUGCUCCCGUCAUGAGCUGUUUGGUUUGGAUGCGCAUGCAUCUGGAUGAGCUCUCGCGACUCAACUGGCGACGCUGGCGGCGCGGUCGACGCGGUCGCUCCCAGCUCGCCGGCCCCCCGCUCCACCACCUCCUCCGCUGCCGUCACUCCGGAUGGUGGCGGCCACCCACUAGACGACCCCGGUGAGCCGCCAACCUUUCCUUGCAGUGGCGGCGGCGAGGACCUGGCCCCAAGCACGCAUGUCAGCAGAACCAUCCUCGUCCUGCGCCCAGGUGAGGCCUUCCAAUCCAGAAUCCUUCGCCAGUUCUACUCCGGAACGACGUUCGAUCCUCUCGAGUUCCCCUCCUGCCGUGUCCCCGGCGAUCUCUGGUUCACCCCGCCGUUCCUCUCAUCGUGUUUCUCCGCCGCCUGCGUUCGCUCCCUAGUUAACUACUUUUUCUGCGCCCCUCCCGGAGAGAUUGUGGUGUCCGAGGCCUCUCCGGUCGUCUUCCAUGCGCAGCUGGCCAGCUCGGUCGUGGCCCGUUUCAUCGCCGCCGUUGGGGUGGGGCAGUUGGCCUCCUUCAAGCUUCAGCCACAUCUCUCCCUCGGGGAUGCAUUGGCUGCAGCCGCUACCCUCCAGCCCGUCAUCUCUGGCCGGCGUACGGCGCCUCGGUCUCCCCAAGCCUCCCCGCCUCGGUUCCGCAUCAUAGGCAACUCGCCGAACGGCUCGGUCGCCUCCAUGCCUGCCUCCCCUAGCAGCGGGCGCCGCACCCCUCCAUCGCUGGUGCACCUUCCCCUGGCCCUUGGCCUUCGGCGCCGUGCUGCUUCUGACGAGUCCGAUGAGAUGGGCUCGGACGCCUCUACUGUCUCCGGUGAGCAGCCCGAUUUCGACAGUGCUGGCGGCCUGAUGCACCGCUCCCCAUCGGGCUCUAAGGCCAGCUCCAGCGCUAGCGCUCCGUCCCUGGUGGCGGAAUCCGAGCGGCCGCACUACCUUGAGGUCUUCAUGCCCACGGGCGACCUCACGGUGGCUCACCGGCUGGCUGUGGUGACCCCUCCGGACCGCGAGACGUGCGUCGCGCUGCGGGAGCUGCCUUUUGAGGGCGCUCUCAUCAUCUUCACCCAAGAAGAGGAGGCUGACCAGGUGCCACCAAGGGCCAGAACCCACGCCUUCAUAUCUACCACCAGAUUCCCCACCGAGCACAUCAACCCCGUCGGCAUUGCUCGCGCCUUUUCAGGCUUUGGUGACUUGGUCGAGAUUGACCACAGGGUGCUCUCCGGUACCGAUCUCUCUGCCGUUCGGGUCGUCCUCCUCCUUGAGCAUGCCAGGGAGGUCCAAUGUGACGUGUGGCCGCGCGGCGGGUUCUGGGGCUCCCGCGUCGUCACUUUCAGUACGCUUGCUGUUUGGCUGCAAGCGGACUCCUACGGCGACGAUGACGUCUACAUCCCCUUCUUCGGCCCGCCACCGCCUCCGCCGGAUGGUGGGUCGGGCCCCUUCAACGCCAGCGUGCUUGCCGUGCUUGCGGGUACUGGGUCGUCCCCGGCACCCGUUAUGCAUGCGCCAUGCAACGUGGUGCCCGACGUCGCUGCCCCUGCUCCUGCCGUCCCGGGCGUGCGCCAUAGCCGUCGCCUGGCCCUCAAGGAGCCUGCCGCGUAUGUCUCCAUGACUGCCAAAGCUAUCAAGCAGAGGGAACUCAAAGACUCCCUCAAAGGCUGCUCAACGGCUCUCCAAGCCAAAGUUCUCAAACACAAAGUGAUCGCCGCCAUCCUCAAGCCUCUGGGAAUGAACUCUGUGUUCGAGCUUAGGGCCGCGGCGGCCAUCCCAUCUGCUCCGGUGUCGGCAGGUGUCGAUGAUUAG